This is a non-coding RNA of Chitinophagaceae bacterium, 74 nucleotides long. The record is from Rfam. Lineage: Bacteria; Pseudomonadati; Bacteroidota; Chitinophagia; Chitinophagales; Chitinophagaceae.
GGGGGGUUAGCUCAGCUGGCUAGAGCACCUGCCUUGCACGCAGGGGGUCAUCGGUUCGACUCCGAUAUCCUCCA